RNAcentral lists this ribosomal RNA (368 nucleotides) under Hybos culiciformis. RNAcentral's name for it is "partial 16S ribosomal RNA". Lineage: Eukaryota; Metazoa; Arthropoda; Insecta; Diptera; Hybotidae. The record is from RNAcentral.
CGAAGGUAGCAUAAUCAGUAGUUUUUUAAUUGAAAGCUUGUAUGAAUGAUUGGACGUGGUAUUAACUGUUUCAUUUGAAUUUUUAGUAGAAUUUUAUUUUUUAAUAAAAAAGUUAAAAUAAAUUUAAAAGACGAGAAGACCCUAUAAAUCUUAAUAAUUUAUUUAUUAUAGUUAUUUAGAUUAUUUAAAGUAUAAUAUUUGAAGUUAUUUUAUUGGGGUGAUAUUAAAAUUUAAUAAACUUUUAGUUAAAUUAAACAUAAAUUUAUGAUUUUUUGAUCCAUUAUUAAUGAUUAAAAAUUUAAGUUACUUUAGGGAUAACAGCGUAAUUUUUUUAGAGAGUUCAUAUCGAUAAAAAAGAUUGCGACCUC